CAUACAAGGCAUACGGCUCAGUAACGCGUAGUCAACCUAACCUAUGGACGGGAAUAACCUCGGGAAACUGAGAAUAAUGCCCGAUAGAACAUUAUGCCUGGAAUGGUUUAUGUUCCAAAUGAUUUAUCGCCGUAGGAUGGGACUGCGGCCUAUCAGUUUGUUGGUGAGGUAAUGGCCCACCAAGACUAUUACAGGUACGGGCUCUGAGAGGAGUAGCCCGGAGAUGGGUACUGAGACACGGACCCAGGCCCUAUGGGGCGCAGCAGGCGAGAAAACUUUGCAAUGUGCGAAAGCACGACAAGGUUAAUCCGAGUGGUUUCUGCUAAAGAAACCUUUUGUCAGUCCUAGAAACACUGAUGAAUAAGGGGUGGGCAAGUUCUGGUGUCAGCCGCCGCGGUAAAACCAGCACCUCAAGUGGUCAGGAUGAUUAUUGGGCCUAAAGCAUCCGUAGCCGGCUCUGUAAGUUUUCGGUUAAAUCUGUACGCUCAACGUACAGGCUGCCGGGAAUACUGCAGAGCUAGGGAGUGGGAGAGGUAGACGGUACUCGGUAGGAAGGGGUAAAAUCCUUUGAUCUAUUGAUGACCACCUGUGGCGAAGGCGGUCUACCAGAACACGUCCGACGGUGAGGGAUGAAAGCUGGGGGAGCAAACCGGAUUAGAUACCCGGGUAGUCCCAGCUGUAAACUAUGCAAACUCAGUGAUGCAUUGGCUUGUGGCCAAUGCAGUGCUGCAGGGAAGCCGUUAAGUUUGCCGCCUGGGAAGUACGUACGCAAGUAUGAAACUUAAAGGAAUUGGCGGGGGAGCACCACAAGGGGGUGAAGCCUGCGGGUUCAAUUGGAGUCAACGCCCGGG
RNAcentral lists this ribosomal RNA (851 nucleotides) under uncultured crenarchaeote. RNAcentral describes it as "bacterial SSU rRNA". It matches the Rfam family "Archaeal small subunit ribosomal RNA", at positions 73 to 923 of the family's 1478-position model. The record is from RNAcentral. Lineage: Archaea; Thermoproteati; Thermoproteota.